AGAGUUUGAUCAUGGCUCAGAUUGAACGCUGGCGGCAUGCCUUACACAUGCAAGUCGAACGGCAGCACGGGGGCAACCCUGGUGGCGAGUGGCGAACGGGUGAGUAAUACAUCGGAACGUGUCCUGUAGUGGGGGAUAGCCCGGCGAAAGCCGGAUUAAUACCGCAUACGAUCUACGGAAGAAAGCGGGGGAUCGCAAGACCUCGUGCUAUAGGGGCGGCCGAUGGCAGAUUAGCUAGUUGGUGGGGUAAAGGCCUACCAAGGCGACGAUCUGUAGCUGGUCUGAGAGGACGACCAGCCACACUGGGACUGAGACACGGCCCAGACUCCUACGGGAGGCAGCAGUGGGGAAUUUUGGACAAUGGGCGAAAGCCUGAUCCAGCAAUGCCGCGUGUGUGAAGAAGGCCUUCGGGUUGUAAAGCACUUUUGUCCGGAAAGAAAACUUCGAUCCUAAUAUGGUUGGAGGAUGACGGUACCGGAAGAAUAAGCACCGGCUAACUACGUGCCAGCAGCCGCGGUAAUACGUAGGGUGCGAGCGUUAAUCGGAAUUACUGGGCGUAAAGCGUGCGCAGGCGGUCUGUUAAGACCGAUGUGAAAUCCCCGGGCUUAACCUGGGAACUGCAUUGGUGACUGGCAGGCUUUGAGUAUGGCAGAGGGGGGUAGAAUUCCACGUGUAGCAGUGAAAUGCGUAGAGAUGUGGAGGAAUACCGAUGGCGAAGGCAGCCCCCUGGGCCAAUACUGACGCUCAUGCACGAAAGCGUGGGGAGCAAACAGGAUUAGAUACCCCAGUAGUCC
This 794-nucleotide ribosomal RNA is filed under the name uncultured bacterium. Its description in RNAcentral is "bacterial SSU rRNA". It matches the Rfam family "Bacterial small subunit ribosomal RNA", at positions 8 to 796 of the family's 1533-position model. The record is from RNAcentral.